GUCUGAAUCUACCUGUGUCAAGGUGUGGGAUGAAGAAAAAAGGGUUAUUUCUACCAUAACAGUACAGAAACAGAAAGGCAGCACUGCCAGCAACCCAGAAGCUGCCCUUGAAUCAACCUUUGAAGGAACAGACAGCAGCAGCAAUACCGGUGACAUACAGUGUUUGAGUAAUAUCUGUGUGGUUAUCGAGUCUCUAUGCAGAAAUGCGGGCUAAGAAAUUGCCUGAAGUUCCAGGGAAGACAUUAUCUACAGCACUCUGAGGAAAUAAGAUUUAAGAAAAUUUUAUUUACUAUUUCCGACAUUCCUAGAAUUCCAUCACCAGUGAGAGUCAUGAGAACACUGAUAUAAAUGAGUGUGUAGAAAGACCUAAAUGAAUAGAUCCACGUCAUACUUUUCUUUUAUUCUGAGGUUUGGCUGCCUUCCAUGUGUUCAUGAAAUAAAUUGGCUGCAGCAGAGCAGCUAGUAGCAUUCCACCGAGUGGAAGAAUCCCAGCAGGGACAGAAGCCGGCUCAGUAAGGACUAGGAAUGAGAGACAGAUCAGAUUACCAGAGUUUCUCAUCGAGCUGCAAAAUGAUGCUCCGCUCAGGCCGUGAAAAGCCAUACGGAAUGCCUCCUUGUGAGAAGCAACCAGUGAGAAAGAAGUUUCUGAUGAGCACCAGAUCAGCAGCUGCUGAAAACUCAGAGCUUCAGCUGCGGCAAACGCUGAGGUGCUACAUACAGACUGAAGAUUCAAAAACUGUGCAUUUCAACUUAGAUGAACGUGGUCGCCAUGAAAUAUCAACCAUGGAUUCACAACACCCUGCAGAUACGGCGUGGUUAAGCCUGUUCACAAGCAACAAACGAGAGGUUAGAGCAAAAACAAACUCUAAAAAUGUGGUGGUCCUCAUGCAGCGAUUAAGGUGCAAUGAAUUUGUGCUGUUGAGCAAGGGAGAAAAUCAGCUCUGUCUGAAGGUUUUAAAGGGAUGCUGUUCCGAGCCAGAUCAUUCUUCACUGGAAGAAGGCAACAGAAAAACAUGCACAAAGGGAGGUCUUGACUUCAACAAGCUGAAGGAAGACAAUCACUUUUUCAUCAUGCAUUCUGAGGGAGAUUCGGUGAAGUUCCAGUGCUACGAAGACACAAAUUACUUUCUGCAUGUGAAUGAUCACUCACUUGACAUACGCAAGCUGGAUCAUGAUGACCAGAAUGCGGAGAGAAACUUUGUCUUCAAGUUGACAUAUUUUUAG
Molecule: long non-coding RNA, 1224 nt
Filed under: Coturnix japonica (Japanese quail)
Lineage: Eukaryota; Metazoa; Chordata; Aves; Galliformes; Phasianidae
Description: lncRNA (ENSCJPG00005003252.1)
Source: RNAcentral